AGUAACACGUGGGCAACCUGCCUGUAAGACUGGGAUAACUCCGGGAAACCGGGGCUAAUACCGGAUAACUCUUUUCCUCACAUGAGGAAAAGCUGAAAGAUGGUUUCGGCUAUCACUUACAGAUGGGCCCGCGGCGCAUUAGCUAGUUGGUGAGGUAACGGCUCACCAAGGCCACGAUGCGUAGCCGACCUGAGAGGGUGAUCGGCCACACUGGGACUGACACACGGCCCAGACUCCUACGGGAGGCAGCAGUAGGGAAUCUUCCGCAAUGGACGAAAGUCUGACGGAACAACGCCGCGUGAGUGAUGAAGGUUUUCGGAUCGUAAAACUCUGUUGUCAGGGAAGAACAAGUACCGGAGUAAGUGCCGGUACCUUGACGGUACCUGACCACAAAGCCACGGCUAACUACGUGCCAUCAGCCGCGGUAAUACGUAUGUGGCAAGCGUUGUCCGGAAUUAUUGGGCGUAAAGCGCGCGCAGGCGGUUCCUUAAUUCUGAUGUGAAAGCCCCCGGCUCAACCGGCGAGGGUCAUUGGAAACUGGGGAACUUGAGUGCAGAAGAGAAGAGUGGAAUUCCACGUGUAGCGGUGAAAUGCGUAGAGAUGUGGA
This 607-nucleotide ribosomal RNA is filed under the name uncultured bacterium. Its description in RNAcentral is "bacterial SSU rRNA". It matches the Rfam family "Bacterial small subunit ribosomal RNA", at positions 109 to 702 of the family's 1533-position model. The record is from RNAcentral.